Molecule: long non-coding RNA, 816 nt
Organism: Erinaceus europaeus (western European hedgehog)
Lineage: Eukaryota; Metazoa; Chordata; Mammalia; Eulipotyphla; Erinaceidae
Exons: 4
Source: RefSeq, a predicted model, not a curated record
CAUAGGCAGCAGGGUUUAGCCCGCAGGGUGGAUGAGUGCGGGAGUGUGGGGUUCCUCCCUGGAAGAAACACGUCCAAAGACUGACCCAAAACCAGAGUGAAAAAUGGGGAGUCAGAAGCAUCUGUCUGUGAGCAAGGAGUAAGGAAACAAGGGAACAGCAAUGGGUUCACCUUCACAGAGUGAAAAAAAGCUGCGUCCCUGCUGGCUGGCCAAGUCACUGGGCUGUCAGGGGGAGUGGCUGGGAAUCACAGACCCCAGAAGUCUGCCCUCCCGUCUGGCUAUUUGCUAAGCCUCCGGAUGUGGCCGUCCCCUUCUUCUGGACCUAAACAGCCUCUUGGCACAUGCUCCACCAGGUGUCCAUCUCCAGCCCCGUCUCUCCCUUCAAGUCUCACAGGACAGCGAUCCUGGAAUUUCUGGCAGAGUGCUGAGCACACAGCAUGAGCCCGGCAGCCCACAGGUCUGACUCAUGGCAGUUUCCUCUUUGAAAACAAUUGCUACCCUCAGCCAGCACUUCCCGAGGCUGAUAUGAAGGAGCACUGCCCAGGCCUCCCAGGAAAGCUGGGCCUGAUGUGGUCAGGACUCAGUGUGUCUUGAGCUGUGAGGUGGAGGCAGAGACCGAAGGCUUGGCCUCUCUAAGAGCUACGACUCUGACGGGUCAUGGUGCUGACCUGGCAUCAGAGCCCCCUCCUGGCCCCCGCUGUCCCCUGUCCCAGGUCUACACCUCAGACCUCAGCCAACACAAGUGGUUGCGGAAGGCUUUGCAAGCUGCAAGCUGCCCUAUCAACUCCCUUGUGGUCUUUUCUGUCACUAAAUAUA